Molecule: ribosomal RNA, 1956 nt
Filed under: Escherichia coli
Lineage: Bacteria; Pseudomonadati; Pseudomonadota; Gammaproteobacteria; Enterobacterales; Enterobacteriaceae
Also listed under: 1 other name
Description: partial 23S ribosomal RNA
Rfam family: Bacterial large subunit ribosomal RNA
Source: RNAcentral
GUCGUGAAGAGGGAAACAACCCAGACCGCCAGCUAAGGUCCCAAAGUCAUGGUUAAGUGGGAAACGAUGUGGGAAGGCCCAGACAGCCAGGAUGUUGGCUUAGAAGCAGCCAUCAUUUAAAGAAAGCGUAAUAGCUCACUGGUCGAGUCGGCCUGCGCGGAAGAUGUAACGGGGCUAAACCAUGCACCGAAGCUGCGGCAGCGACGCUUAUGCGUUGUUGGGUAGGGGAGCGUUCUGUAAGCCUGUGAAGGUGUGCUGUGAGGCAUGCUGGAGGUAUCAGAAGUGCGAAUGCUGACAUAAGUAACGAUAAAGCGGGUGAAAAGCCCGCUCGCCGGAAGACCAAGGGUUCCUGUCCAACGUUAAUCGGGGCAGGGUGAGUCGACCCCUAAGGCGAGGCCGAAAGGCGUAGUCGAUGGGAAACAGGUUAAUAUUCCUGUACUUGGUGUUACUGCGAAGGGGGGACGGAGAAGGCUAUGUUGGCCGGGCGACGGUUGUCCCGGUUUAAGCGUGUAGGCUGGUUUUCCAGGCAAAUCCGGAAAAUCAAGGCUGAGGCGUGAUGACGAGGCACUACGGUGCUGAAGCAACAAAUGCCCUGCUUCCAGGAAAAGCCUCUAAGCAUCAGGUAACAUCAAAUCGUACCCCAAACCGACACAGGUGGUCAGGUAGAGAAUACCAAGGCGCUUGAGAGAACUCGGGUGAAGGAACUAGGCAAAAUGGUGCCGUAACUUCGGGAGAAGGCACGCUGAUAUGUAGGUGAAGUCCCUCGCGGAUGGAGCUGAAAUCAGUCGAAGAUACCAGCUGGCUGCAACUGUUUAUUAAAAACACAGCACUGUGCAAACACGAAAGUGGACGUAUACGGUGUGACGCCUGCCCGGUGCCGGAAGGUUAAUUGAUGGGGUCAGCGCAAGCGAAGCUCUUGAUCGAAGCCCCGGUAAACGGCGGCCGUAACUAUAACGGUCCUAAGGUAGCGAAAUUCCUUGUCGGGUAAGUUCCGACCUGCACGAAUGGCGUAAUGAUGGCCAGGCUGUCUCCACCCGAGACUCAGUGAAAUUGAACUCGCUGUGAAGAUGCAGUGUACCCGCGGCAAGACGGAAAGACCCCGUGAACCUUUACUAUAGCUUGACACUGAACAUUGAGCCUUGAUGUGUAGGAUAGGUGGGAGGCUUAGAAGUGUGGACGCCAGUCUGCAUGGAGCCGACCUUGAAAUACCACCCUUUAAUGUUUGAUGUUCUAACGUUGACCCGUAAUCCGGGUUGCGGACAGUGUCUGGUGGGUAGUUUGACUGGGGCGGUCUCCUCCUAAAGAGUAACGGAGGAGCACGAAGGUUGGCUAAUCCUGGUCGGACAUCAGGAGGUUAGUGCAAUGGCAUAAGCCAGCUUGACUGCGAGCGUGACGGCGCGAGCAGGUGCGAAAGCAGGUCAUAGUGAUCCGGUGGUUCUGAAUGGAAGGGCCAUCGCUCAACGGAUAAAAGGUACUCCGGGGAUAACAGGCUGAUACCGCCCAAGAGUUCAUAUCGACGGCGGUGUUUGGCACCUCGAUGUCGGCUCAUCACAUCCUGGGGCUGAAGUAGGUCCCAAGGGUAUGGCUGUUCGCCAUUUAAAGUGGUACGCGAGCUGGGUUUAGAACGUCGUGAGACAGUUCGGUCCCUAUCUGCCGUGGGCGCUGGAGAACUGAGGGGGGCUGCUCCUAGUACGAGAGGACCGGAGUGGACGCAUCACUGGUGUUCGGGUUGUCAUGCCAAUGGCACUGCCCGGUAGCUAAAUGCGGAAGAGAUAAGUGCUGAAAGCAUCUAAGCACGAAACUUGCCCCGAGAUGAGUUCUCCCUGACUCCUUGAGAGUCCUGAAGGAACGUUGAAGACGACGACGUUGAUAGGCCGGGUGUGUAAGCGCAGCGAUGCGUUGAGCUAACCGGUACUAAUGAACCGUGAGGCUUAACCUUACAACGCCGAAGCUGUU